Phyllopteryx taeniolatus (common seadragon) is the source of this 1012-nucleotide long non-coding RNA. RefSeq lists it as uncharacterized. The record is from RefSeq and is a predicted model, not a curated record. The transcript is spliced from 4 exons. NCBI's taxonomy places the organism in Eukaryota, Metazoa, Chordata, Actinopteri, Syngnathiformes, Syngnathidae.
CGUCAGAGUGUCGCUUUCCUCCUCGAAGGUAAGUGGACGUAAUCGCCCUGGCUCCAUCCUAAUAAAGCUCCGUGUUAUUUAUAGUGCUUUUGUUGAUAGUAAAUGGUCAAGUCUGUGUCGGUCGGCUAAGCGUCUAGCUAUGAGCAGUAGCAAUUUAAAGGGUUUUAUAUGUGUAUUUGUCAUGCUAAUGGUACGAGUCUUCCGGAGAACUCUUAGGACGCUUUCGACUUUGAAGUUCAUACUGCACUGUUUGUUAACGUGGCCGCUGGAAAGCCGUCUGUCUAAAACAGUGGCAUGUCCACAGUAUGUCUGUGUCCUAACUUGCUGUGGGGCUCCCAACACGAGCACAAACCAUCGCCCAGGUGUGAGAAGACGACCUCUUGCUGACCCCUCAAUCCAACUCUUGUCGCUGCUCUAUCUUUUGUCUCUGCCUUCCUUCUAUCUUUCACCUCUCAAGAUGUAUAUAAAAAAAAAAAAAAAAAAAAAAAAAGGGGGUGGGGGGGGGCAAGAGAUGUAAGGCUCGCAAAGUUGAACUGGGAGAAGCGUGCUCAAAACCACUCCCGGGCACCUGUUGCAUCCUCUGGUGAUUUCUAUGCCACUGCCGCGCACUUCGGUGCGCGCAAUUUGCCCGCCGCAGUUGCAAGCAACGAUUUCCGUGCCUUUGCGCCAUUUGAAAGCAAGGAUUUCCGUGGCGCGGCUGCCGCACGCCUCGAGAACUGCGCCAGUGUCGGGGUCCCGAUUUCCUCGCCCCGUCUUCGGAGAGCCGCACCUGUCGGAGACCCGAUGACUGACGAGCCUGUCGAGGGAAAAGCUCUGCUGCGACACGAUCGGGUGACGAAGUUGCAUCACUCGACCGGCGCUGAUCGAGAUCUCGUUCGUGUACUUUGGCUGUUUUGAAGGCCCGAGGACGAUGCACGGACAGUCGUUUGGCAACGGAUGAAAUUCCGGCGAUUGUUCGUGGUUUGGGAAAAAAAAAAAACCAGACGUGUAAAUAAACGUGUCAAUCGACGUA